Molecule: RNA transcript, 942 nt
Organism: Enhydra lutris kenyoni (northern sea otter)
Lineage: Eukaryota; Metazoa; Chordata; Mammalia; Carnivora; Mustelidae
Gene name: 60S ribosomal protein L5 pseudogene
Exons: 1
Source: RefSeq, a predicted model, not a curated record
GCUGGUCUGUGGUGAGCCAUGGAUGCUGGUCUCUGAUCCAUACGAUGGGGUUUGUUAAGGUUGUCAAGAAUAAGGCUUACUUCAAGAGAUACCAAGUGAAAUUUAGAAGACAUCGAGAGGGUAAAACUGAUUAUUAUGCCAGGAAAUGCUUGGUAAUUCAAGAUAAAAAUAAGUACAACACACCUAAAUACAGGAUGAUAGUUCAUGUAACCAACAGAGAUAUCAUCUGUCAGAUUGCUUAUGCCCGCAUAGAAGGAGAUAUGAUAGUUUGUGCAGCUUAUGCUCAUGAACUCCCAAAGUAUGGUGUGAAAGUUGGCCUGACAAAUUACACUGUAGCAUAUUGUACCAGCCUGCUGCUGGCCUGCAGGCUCCUUAAUAGGUUUGGCAUGGACAAGAUCUAUGAAGGCCAAGUGGAAGUGACUGGAGAUGAAUACAAUGUGGAAAGCAUUGAUGGUCAACCUGGUGCCUUCACCUGCUGUUUGGAUGCAGGGCUUGCCAGAACUACUACUGGAAAUAAGGUUUUGGGGGCCCUCAAGGGAGCAGUGGAUGGAGGCUUGUCUAUCCCUCACAGUACCAAACUAUUCCCUGGUUAUGAUUCAGAAAGCAAGGAAUUCAAUGCAGAAGUACAUCAAAAGCACAUCAUGGGUCAGAAUGUUGCAGAUUAUAUGCGUUACCUAAUGGAAGAAGACAAAGAUGCAUACAAGAAACAAUUCUCUCGAUACAUAAAGAACAAUGUAACUCCAGACAUGAUGGAGGAGAUGUAUAAGAAAGCUCAUGCUGCUAUACGAGAGAACCCAGUCUAUGAGAAGAAGCCUAAGAAGGAAGUUAAAAAGAAGAGGUGGAACCAUCCCAAAAUGUGUCUUGCCCAAAAGAAAGAUCGGAUAGCUCAGAAGAAGGCAAGCUUCCUUUGAGCUCAGGAGUGGGCUGUUGAGAGCUAAUAAA